Molecule: long non-coding RNA, 995 nt
Filed under: Nicotiana benthamiana
Lineage: Eukaryota; Viridiplantae; Streptophyta; Magnoliopsida; Solanales; Solanaceae
Description: long non-coding RNA (NBEN_LNC009428)
Source: RNAcentral
GACUGAAUUUCAACAGCUACUAUGAAGGAAUUGAAAAAUGAUGGAUCUGAACAAAAGAGUUUCGAAAAGAACAGCAACCUACGACUGGAAUCUGAACAACAACAGAACUACGAUCCGAACCAGAACGGGCUUCGACUCGGCACCACAAACCACACCUCGAACGCCAAUCGACAAGUAAUCUCGGACAAAAACUCCAAACGGCACCGGAAUUUUGAAUCUACGCACGAACUCACCCUCAAAAUUCAAUCAAAUUUUCUGUCGUAAUGUUUCUGACUUUGAAACAGAAUUCAAAUAGAAGAAACUUAUUUUCUUUUGUUCUUAUAUAUAUGGAAAAAAAACAGAAUAAGAGAACACAAAAGAAAACUCUUAUUUUCAAAUGGAUUGAAAUUAGAAGAACAACCAAAAAAUCCGAAAACCCUAGCUCUUUCUCACAGUUUCUCCUCCUCUUUCUUCUGCCCGAAAAUCCCAAAUAUAUAGGAAGCCGAGAAACUUCUUCUUCUUUCCUCUCCAAGAAAAACCAAAAAUCUCCACAAAAUUCUCAGAAAAUAAAAACCAAAAUCUGAAAAUCUAUUCUAUUAGUGAGAUAAGAGAAAUUGAAGGAGUAGAUCGAGUGCAACUCAAUCCUACACACCCCAUUUUUCCUAUUUUCGCCUAAAAGAGUAAAUUCGAAAAACGAAAAAUAGAAACAAAAUGCGUAGAAUCAAAUUCUAAUGAUAAGGGAGGGACUAGGAGGGGACCAAUACUUACGUGAAAGUAAUUUCAGGUGGAUUUGGACAUGGGUCGCGGCAGAGUGGUGGAGAGAUGAGGAGAUGGGGGCGGAUGGUCUUGGGAGCUAGGGUUUGGGCAUUUAGGGUUAAGGCUAGGGUUAUAUUUGGGUGUGGGAAAACAAGGGAGGCUGUUAGAUUUGAAGAGAGGGACGACCGCUGUUAGAUGUGAAAAUGAGGUUAGUGGGUCGUUUGGGGCGGACUUGGGCUGCUAAGUUGGGUCAGGGUAGU